This is a small nuclear RNA of Synchiropus splendidus (mandarinfish), 115 nucleotides long. RefSeq annotates it as U5 spliceosomal RNA. The transcript has a single exon. The record is from RefSeq and is a predicted model, not a curated record. NCBI's taxonomy places the organism in Eukaryota, Metazoa, Chordata, Actinopteri, Syngnathiformes, Callionymidae.
CACUCAUGUUUCUCUUCAGAUUGUAUAUAUAUAUCUUUCGCCUUUUACUAAAGAUUUCCGUGGAGAGCAACAGCAUGAGCUUAUACUAAUUUUUCACACUCUGCUCUUGGAGGGC